This 253-nucleotide ribosomal RNA is filed under the name uncultured bacterium. RNAcentral's name for it is "partial 16S ribosomal RNA". It matches the Rfam family "Bacterial small subunit ribosomal RNA", at positions 524 to 775 of the family's 1533-position model. The record is from RNAcentral.
CACGUAGGGUGCGAGCGUUGUCCGGAAUUAUUGGGCGUAAAGAGCUCGUAGGCGGUGUGUCGCGUCGGCCGUGAAAACCUGCAGCUUAACUGUGGGCGUGCGGUCGAUACGGGCAUCACUGGAGUUCGGCAGGGGAGACUGGAAUUCCUGGUGUAGCGGUGAAAUGCGCAGAUAUCAGGAGGAACACCGGUGGCGAAGGCGGGUCUCUGGGCCGAUACUGACGCUGAGGAGCGAAAGCGUGGGGAGCAACAGG